RNAcentral lists this ribosomal RNA (646 nucleotides) under Salmonella enterica subsp. enterica. RNAcentral's name for it is "bacterial SSU rRNA". It matches the Rfam family "Bacterial small subunit ribosomal RNA", at positions 899 to 1533 of the family's 1533-position model. Lineage: Bacteria; Pseudomonadati; Pseudomonadota; Gammaproteobacteria; Enterobacterales; Enterobacteriaceae. The record is from RNAcentral.
ACUCAAAUGAAUUGACGGGGGCCCGCACAAGCGGUGGAGCAUGUGGUUUAAUUCGAUGCAACGCGAAGAACCUUACCUGGUCUUGACAUCCACAGAACUUUCCAGAGAUGGAUUGGUGCCUUCGGGAACUGUGAGACAGGUGCUGCAUGGCUGUCGUCAGCUCGUGUUGUGAAAUGUUGGGUUAAGUCCCGCAACGAGCGCAACCCUUAUCCUUUGUUGCCAGCGGUCCGGCCGGGAACUCAAAGGAGACUGCCAGUGAUAAACUGGAGGAAGGUGGGGAUGACGUCAAGUCAUCAUGGCCCUUACGACCAGGGCUACACACGUGCUACAAUGGCAUAUACAAAGAGAAGCGACCUCGCGAGAGCAAGCGGACCUCAUAAAGUAUGUCGUAGUCCGGAUUGGAGUCUGCAACUCGACUCCAUGAAGUCGGAAUCGCUAGUAAUCGUGGAUCAGAAUGCCACGGUGAAUACGUUCCCGGGCCUUGUACACACCGCCCGUCACACCAUGGGAGUGGGUUGCAAAAGAAGUAGGUAGCUUAACCUUCGGGAGGGCGCUUACCACUUUGUGAUUCAUGACUGGGGUGAAGUCGUAACAAGGUAACCGUAGGGGAACCUGCGGUUGGAUCACCUCCUUACCUGAAAGAAGC